This 497-nucleotide ribosomal RNA is filed under the name uncultured bacterium. RNAcentral describes it as "partial 16S ribosomal RNA". It matches the Rfam family "Bacterial small subunit ribosomal RNA", at positions 38 to 507 of the family's 1533-position model. The record is from RNAcentral.
GGGGGGGGGGGGGGGGGGGGGGGGGGGGGGGGGGGGGAGGGGGGGGGGGGGGGGCUGGCUGCUCUGGCGUGCGCGGGGGGCGGGUGGGGGGCGCGUGGCGGGCCUACCUACAAGACUGGGGUAGCUUCUGGAGACCGGAGCUAAUACCGGGUAAUAUCUUCAACGGCCUGGGUCACUCCGGCAAGCCCGUAUGCCUUGCACUUAUAGAGGGCUCCCCGCCGCAUUAGCGACGUGGUACGGGAACGGAUUACCAAGGCAACGAUGCCUAGCCGCCCUGGGUGGAUGAUCGGCCACACUGGAACUGAGGCACGGUCCAGACUCCUACGGGAGGCAGCAGUAGGGGAUCGUCCGCAAUGGGCGAGAGCAUGACGGAGCAACGCCGCGUGAGUGAUGAAGGUCUUCGGAUCGUAAAACUCUGUUAUUAGGGAAGAACAAAUGUGUAAGUAACUAUGCACGUCUUGACGGUACCUAAUCAGAAAGCCACGGCUAACUACGUG